This 406-nucleotide ribosomal RNA is filed under the name uncultured bacterium. RNAcentral describes it as "partial 16S ribosomal RNA". It matches the Rfam family "Bacterial small subunit ribosomal RNA", at positions 30 to 526 of the family's 1533-position model. The record is from RNAcentral.
AUUGAACGCUAGCGGCAGGCCUAACACAUGCAAGUCGAACGAGUGGCGGACGGGUGAGUAAUGUAUGGGAACCUGCCUGAUGGCGGGGGAUAACUACUGGAAACGGUAGCUAAUACCGCAUACCAUCAGAUGUGCCCAGAUGGGAUUAGCUUGUUGGUGGGGUAACGGCUCACCAAGGCGACGAUCCCUAGCUGGUAUGAGAGGAUGACCAGCCACACUGGAACUGAGACACGGGCCAGACUCCUACGGGAGGCAGCAGUGGGGAAUAUUGCACAAUGGGCGCAAGCCUGAUUCAGCCAUGCCGCGUGUAUGAAGAAGGCCUUCGGGUUGUAAAGUACUUUCAGCGGGGAGGCGUUACCCGCAGAAGAAGCACCGGCUAACUACGUGCCAGCAGCCGCGGUAAUAC